RNAcentral lists this transfer RNA (68 nucleotides) under Marmota monax (woodchuck). Its description in RNAcentral is "tRNA.Ser". Lineage: Eukaryota; Metazoa; Chordata; Mammalia; Rodentia; Sciuridae. The record is from RNAcentral.
AUGUGGUUCAGUGGUAGGAUGCUUACCUAGAAUGUAUGAGGCCCUGGGUUCAAUCCCCAAUCCACACA